CUCAUCACUGUUACUCUCUUCCCUGCCCAUCAAUUUCCACUGCCCCUUUUUUCUUCGCGCUCGGUGUGGCGUCUACGCCGUCUCAUGGCCGUUCCAACCACCUCCUCUACCUCCACCACCAUCAGCGAUCUCCCUGAUGUCAUUUUAUCGAACAUUUUUGCUUCCAUAUCCGACACUCGAACACGAAACUCUCUUUCUCUAGUGAACCGCAAGUUCUUAACUCUUGAGAGAGCCACGCGCACCUCCCUUACGCUCCGAGGCAACGCGCGCGACUUUUAUAUGAUUCCGACUUGUUUCAGAUCUGUCACUCACCUAGACCUUUCUCUACUCUCUCCAUGGGGUCACUAGACUUUGCUCGCUUCCUCGCCGCUUUCCGAUCCUUUCCUCCUGGCGCACCGCCUCGGCGUUGC
Molecule: unclassified non-coding RNA, 410 nt
Filed under: Hevea brasiliensis (rubber tree)
Lineage: Eukaryota; Viridiplantae; Streptophyta; Magnoliopsida; Malpighiales; Euphorbiaceae
Source: RNAcentral